AUUGAACGCUGGCGGCAUGCCUUACACAUGCAAGUCGAACGGGCAGCACGGGAGCAAUCCUGGUGGCGAGUGGCGAACGGGUGAGUAAUAUAUCGGAACGUGCCCGGUCGUGGGGGAUAACGUAGCGAAAGCUACGCUAAUACCGCAUACGAUCUACGGAUGAAAGCGGGGGAUCGCAAGACCUCGCGCGAUUGGAGCGGCCGAUAUCAGAUUAGGUAGUUGGUGAGGUAAAGGCUCACCAAGCCGACGAUCUGUAGCUGGUCUGAGAGGACGACCAGCCACACUGGGACUGAGACACGGCCCAGACUCCUACGGGAGGCAGCAGUGGGGAAUUUUGGACAAUGGGCGCAAGCCUGAUCCAGCAAUGCCGCGUGCAGGAUGAAGGCCUUCGGGUUGUAAACUGCUUUGUACGGAACGAAACGGUGAGCUCUAAUACAGUUUGCUAAUGACGGUACCGUAAGAAUAAGCACCGGCUAACUACGUG
RNAcentral lists this ribosomal RNA (484 nucleotides) under uncultured bacterium. Its description in RNAcentral is "bacterial SSU rRNA". It matches the Rfam family "Bacterial small subunit ribosomal RNA", at positions 30 to 507 of the family's 1533-position model. The record is from RNAcentral.